AACACCCGAAGCCGGUGGCCGUAACCCGCAAGGGAGGAGCCGUCGAAGGUGGGCCGUGAUUGGGGUG
This 67-nucleotide ribosomal RNA is filed under the name uncultured bacterium. RNAcentral's name for it is "partial 16S ribosomal RNA". The record is from RNAcentral.